UACAGAGGUCUCAAGCGUUGUUCGGAUUCAUUGGGCGUAAAGGGUGCGUAGGCGGCGCGGUAAGUCGGGUGUGAAAUCUCGGAGCUUAACUUCGAAACUGCAUUCGAUACUGCCGUGCUUGAGGACUGGAGAGGAGACUGGAAUUUACGGUGUAGCGGUGAAAUGCGUAGAUAUCGUAAGGAAGACCAGUGGCGAAGGCGGGUCUCUGGACAGCUCCUGACGCUGAGGCACGAAGGUCAGGGGAGCAAACGGG
This 253-nucleotide ribosomal RNA is filed under the name uncultured bacterium. RNAcentral's name for it is "partial 16S ribosomal RNA". It matches the Rfam family "Bacterial small subunit ribosomal RNA", at positions 524 to 776 of the family's 1533-position model. The record is from RNAcentral.